Molecule: ribosomal RNA, 1249 nt
Filed under: Lampadena luminosa
Lineage: Eukaryota; Metazoa; Chordata; Actinopteri; Myctophiformes; Myctophidae
Description: 16S ribosomal RNA
Rfam family: Bacterial large subunit ribosomal RNA
Source: RNAcentral
CCUAGCCAGUAUGCCUGAGCAUAGAGAACUUUAGUUCAGCCCCCCGAAACUAAGCGAGCUACUUCAAGACAGCCUAUGUCGGGCAAACCCGUCUCUGUUGCAAAAGAGUGGGACGAUCUUCAAGUAGAGGUGAUAAACCUACCGAGCCUAGUUAUAGCUGGUUGUCUGAAAAGUGUAUAUAAGUUCAGCCUCCCGACUCCCCCCAUCCAGGACGCCCACGUUUCCUAAGACCAAGUGUGACCGAGAGAGUUAGUCAAAGAGGGUACAGCCCCUUUGAAAAAGGACACAACCUCACCGGGAGACUAAAGAUCAUAAUUAACCCAAGGAACCUUGUUUUAGUGGGCCUAAAAGCAGCCACCUAUAAAGAAAGCGUUAAAGCUCAUACAAAUUCCAACCAUCAAUACCGAACCCUACUCUGCACUCCCCACCCACUACCAGACCCUCCCACGAACCCUGGGAAAGACCCUGCUAGGAUGAGUAAUAAGAGGGACUGCCCCUCUCCCCCACACAUGUGUACAUUGGAACGGACCCACCACCAAUAACUAACGAUCCCCCAUCCGAGGGAAGUGUAGCACUACCCGAAUAUCAAGGAAAGCGAACACAAUUAAUCGUUAACCCAACACAGGUGUGUGUACUGGGAAAGACUUAGACAAAGGGAAGGAACUCGGCAAACACAAGCCUCGCCUGUUUACCAAAAACAUCGCCUCUUGCAAAACGAACGAAUAAGAGUCCCGCCUGCCCUGUGACUAUAUGUUUAACGGCCGCGGUAUUUUGACCGUGCAAAGGUAGCGCAAUCACUUGUCUCUUAAAUGGAGACCUGUAUGAAAGGCACCACGAGGGCUUAGCUGUCUCCCCUUUAAAGUCAAUGAAAUUGAUCUCCCCGUGCAGAAGCGGGGAUACACUCGUAAGACGAGAAGACCCUAUGGAGCUUAAGACACAAGGCGGCCCAUGUGAAACACACCCCCGCAAAGGGGCUGAAUGAAAUGAGCCCCGCUGGAAUGUCUUCGGUUGGGGCGACCGCGGAGAAAGACAAAACCUCCGCAUGGAUGGGGGUACUACUCCCCUAAAACCUAGACCCACAGGUCAAACCAACAGUAUUUCUGACCACCAAAGAGCCGGCAAUGCCGAUCGACGGACCGAGUUACCCUAGGGAUAACAGCGCAAUCCCCUCCCAGAGCCCUUAUCGACAAGGGGGUUUACGACCUCGAUGUUGGAUCAGGACAUCCUAAUGGUGCAGCCGCUAUUGAGG